AGGUAUUUAAUCUAAUUAAGAUAUUUGAUUUCGACUCAACCUAUCAUGGCCCCAAUCCAUGAAUACCUC
Molecule: transfer RNA, 69 nt
Filed under: Dendrolagus dorianus (Doria's tree kangaroo)
Lineage: Eukaryota; Metazoa; Chordata; Mammalia; Diprotodontia; Macropodidae
Description: tRNA-Arg
Source: RNAcentral